AUGAUCACAAUACGUCUUAGAGAGUGGCUGGCAGAGAAAAUGGUCUGUGGUCUACAGAUUUCAAGCUCCUGGAGGAUGGGGUUCCAUAAACUGUAUAGCAACCAAGUUCCCUCUCCUAGGCUCCAAGCUGCCCAGCCUCCCACCUGUAGACUCAAAACACCACCAGGUUUGGAGACUCAUGGCAGCCCACUCCAGUCCUCUUGCCUGGAAAAUCCCACGGACGAAGGAGCCUGGCGGGUUACAGUCCCUGGGGUCGCGGAGAGUCGGACAGGACUGAGCGACUUCACUUUCACUUUCCGAGACUCAUGCCAAAACGUCCGCACAGAACCCUUCUCUCAGAACUGCAUCGCGCCUGAUUUCCUGCCGGUGCCAUGUUCCUCUGUGAGUUUGAUGGCAUCCCUCCCUUCCUUUCCUCGGGGCACGGAGCGAUCUCUGAGCUCUAUUAGCCCAGCACCAAGUGCAGGUCAGUACUACCUGCAAUCAUCCCCCGGCACCGACCACCUGCCGGCUUGGACGCUCACUGCCUGCCUGCUGCCAGUUUGAGAGCCCUCAGCCACCAGCCAGGACAUCUGUCCCCAGACCACUGCCAGGCCUCCCGGCUACCAGCCACCCGCCCGCAGGCCCGCCUCACACGCUCGCUGGGUGGAAGCCAAGCGGUCCUCUGCUGCCCACCCGCGGGUCCUGCAGCACCAGCCGAAACCAGACCUGAACGCGGAUGUGAGCCCUGAAUCAACACAGGGACAGGAUGGCUCUCAUUAUUUCUGAAAUGAGUGCAUUGUUUUCUGUACUUGAAUGCGCUGUCUUAAUACCUAUAUUUACUCUAUUUUGUAGCUCACUUUUUAUUAUCUAAUUUGUUCGUCAACUGGCCUUUCUCUGGAGGUAAAGCACAUAUUCAGGAAAGUGCACAACACAUAACUGUGUAUCAUCACAUAGCAAGCAUAUCCAAGCAAGCGGUUUCCAGGUGAAGAAAUAAGACACCGUUCACCCCGGAGGUUCCAUCAAGCCCCUUUCCAAUCACUACUCUUUAAUCCUCAUCCAAGGCAACUUCUAUCCUGACUUCUAAACCCACAGUCCCCUUUUGCCUUUUUUUAAAUUUUAUAGAAGGGGAAUAAGACAUUAUAUAUUCUCUUUAGUCUGCCUUUUUUAUUCUAUAUUUAUUAGAUUAAGCCAUGUUUACUUCCGUGGCUGUGAUUCAUUUGUAUUAUUAUUUUAAAAAGUCCAUUGUAUGAACCUACCAUUAUUCAUAUAUUCAUUUUACUCAUGAUGACUAUUUGGGCUUUUUCUUGGUUUGGGCUGUAACUAAUAAUACUGCUUUGGCUAUACUUGGGCAUGUCAUUUACAGCACAUGUGCUUGUGCUGCUGUUGGGAAAAUACUGAUUGAGUUAUAGGGCACACAUACCUCCAACUUCAGGACACAAAUACCAAACUAUCUUCAAAGCAGUUGAACUAACUUGCAUGCCUCCUGACACUGUGUGAGGAUCCCUGUCACUGCACAUCAUCAUUAAUGCUUGAUAUUUUUUAACUGUUUUCAAUUGAGGGUACU
Molecule: long non-coding RNA, 1543 nt
Organism: Bos indicus x Bos taurus (hybrid cattle)
Lineage: Eukaryota; Metazoa; Chordata; Mammalia; Artiodactyla; Bovidae
Source: Ensembl